This 417-nucleotide ribosomal RNA is filed under the name Triticum aestivum (bread wheat). RNAcentral's name for it is "partial small subunit ribosomal RNA". Lineage: Eukaryota; Viridiplantae; Streptophyta; Magnoliopsida; Poales; Poaceae. The record is from RNAcentral.
AUGGCCAAGAUUUUCACCAAGGUCCUGUCACUACGCCUGGCCCCCAAGCUCGACGCCCUUGUCAGCCGCAAUCAAAACGCAUUCAUCACCGGACGUGGCCUACACGACAACUUCAUCCUUGUCCGGCAAUCUCUCAGGUUGCUGCAUCAACUUGGCGCACCUAGGAUCAUGCUCAAGCUCGACCUCACGCGUGCCUUCGACUCCAUCUCCUGGCCCUUUCUUUUUGAGUGCUGCGCCAAUACGGGUUUGGAGACCGAUUCAGAGAAUGGCUGGCCAUACUUCUGUCCACGGCGAGCACUCGGGUCAUGCUCAACGGUGUCCCCGGCCCGCCGAUUUGGCACCGCCGCGGCCUGCGGCAAGGCGACUCCACCUCCCCGCAGCUCUUCGUGUUGGCGGUGGGCACGCUCGGGCGGCUGA